UCAGGCACCAAGACCCUGAGCGGCAGCAUCGCCACCAUGGACAUGUGUGUGCGUCACUUCAGGCACGCCUCAGGCUGCCGGGUGGAGGAAGCUCUGGAAGCCGCCUCGCUUCAUCCCGCCCAACUCCUGGGGAUCAGCCACAGGAAGGGCCAGCUGGACUACGGCUCGGAUGCAGACCUGGUUCUGCUGGAUGACCAGCUCAAUGUCAGAGCCACGUACAUCUCUGGAGAGGAGGUUUGGAGGAAAGGGCCGUAGGAGAAGAAGUGGAGGGCUCAGCUGGGACUCUCGUGCCUUCAUGUCACAUAAAAGACAUGUUUUAUUACUUCAGGGGAAAAGAAGCUGCAAACACAGUUUUCUAAGAACUUUACUGGUGUUGAACUGAUCAAAAUGAUGUUUAUCACAUGUAUGUGUCUGAUUGGAUUCAUUUUUACCGUCACAGAUCAAAUAAAUUCCUCCUCUUGCAGGUUUGUUGUGUUGGA
Cololabis saira (Pacific saury) is the source of this 479-nucleotide long non-coding RNA. RefSeq lists it as uncharacterized. The record is from RefSeq and is a predicted model, not a curated record. NCBI's taxonomy places the organism in Eukaryota, Metazoa, Chordata, Actinopteri, Beloniformes, Belonidae. The transcript is spliced from 3 exons.